UACGGAGAGGGCUAGCGUUGUUCGGAAUUACUGGGCGUAAAGGGCGCGUAGGCGGCCUUCUAAGUCGAACGUGAAAUCCCCGGGCUCAACCCGGGAACUGCGUCCGAUACUGGAAGGCUUGAAUCCGGGAGAGGGAUGCGGAAUUCCAAGUGUAGCGGUGAAAUGCGUAGAUAUCUGGAGGAACACCGGUGGCGAAGGCGGCAUCCUGGACCGGUAUUGACGCUGAGGCGCGAAAGCCAGGGGAGCAAACGGG
RNAcentral lists this ribosomal RNA (253 nucleotides) under uncultured bacterium. Its description in RNAcentral is "partial 16S ribosomal RNA". It matches the Rfam family "Bacterial small subunit ribosomal RNA", at positions 524 to 776 of the family's 1533-position model. The record is from RNAcentral.